UACGAAGGGACCUAGCGUAGUUCGGAAUUACUGGGCUUAAAGAGCUCGUAGGUGGUUAAAAAAGUUGAUGGUGAAAUCCCAAGGCUCAACCUUGGAACUGCCAUCAAAACUUUUUAGCUAGAGUGUGAUAGAGGAAAGUGGAAUUUCUAGUGUAGAGGUGAAAUUCGUAGAUAUUAGAAAGAACACCGAAAGCGAAGGCAACUUUCUGGGUCACUACUGACACUGAGGAGCGAAAGCAUGGGUAGCGAAGAGG
RNAcentral lists this ribosomal RNA (253 nucleotides) under uncultured Pelagibacterales bacterium. RNAcentral's name for it is "partial 16S ribosomal RNA". It matches the Rfam family "Bacterial small subunit ribosomal RNA", at positions 524 to 776 of the family's 1533-position model. Lineage: Bacteria; Pseudomonadati; Pseudomonadota; Alphaproteobacteria; Candidatus Pelagibacterales. The record is from RNAcentral.